This 248-nucleotide ribosomal RNA is filed under the name uncultured bacterium. RNAcentral's name for it is "partial 16S ribosomal RNA". It matches the Rfam family "Bacterial small subunit ribosomal RNA", at positions 524 to 769 of the family's 1533-position model. The record is from RNAcentral.
UACGAAGGGGGCUAGCGUUGCUCGGAAUUACUGGGCGUAAAGCGCACGUAGGCGGCUUUCUAAGUCGGGGGUGAAAUCCUGGAGCUCAACUCCAGAACUGCCUUCGAUACUGGAAAGCUCGAGUCCGGGAGAGGUGAGUGGAACUGCCGAGUGUAGAGGUGAAAUUCGUAGAUAUCGGGGAGGAACACCGGUGGCGAAGGCGGCGACCUGGGUCGAGACUGACGCUGAGGCGCGAAAGCGUGGGGAGG